This 292-nucleotide ribosomal RNA is filed under the name uncultured bacterium. RNAcentral's name for it is "partial 16S ribosomal RNA". The record is from RNAcentral.
GGACUACACGGGUAUCUAAUCCUGUUUGCUCCCCUAGCUUUCGCGCCUUAGCGUCAGGUCUAAACUCGAAAACCGCUUUCGCCACAGGUGUUCUUCCACAUAUCUACGCAUUUCACCGCUACUUGUGGAAUUCCGUUUUCUCCGUCCAUCCUCUAGUAAAAUAGUUUCAUAUGCUGUUCCGGGGUUGAGCCCCGGGAUUUCACAUCUGACUUAUCUCACCGCCUACGCGCCCUUUACGCCCAGUAAAUCCGAUUAAUGCUCGCACCCUCCGUAUUACCGCGGCUGCUGGCAC